UUAAGAAGGACAACAGUGCCUUUAGUCAC
Molecule: small RNA, 29 nt
Filed under: Bombyx mori (domestic silkworm)
Lineage: Eukaryota; Metazoa; Arthropoda; Insecta; Lepidoptera; Bombycidae
Description: ovarian small RNA-36352
Source: RNAcentral